UUUCGCCACUGCUGGCGUCUGUCCGCGUGGGGACGCCUUUGCCCUGCCUUUCUGAGUUGGCCGGGCCCAGGGGUGGGGAGUUCCAGGAGCACUGGGAUAAUCAAGCAAAAGAAAGAUGAGCUUCGUCUAUGGAUUGCAGUCUGCUACUAGAAACUGUGUUUCCUUCCGAUUUAAUUUACUGACCAACUGGAGAAAAUGUAACACAACAGCUAUAACCUCACUGGACUGUCAUCAAGUACAACUUAACCACAUAGUAAAUAAUAUUGAAGGCAAACUGGGAGUAAAUCGGUGUAAUAGGGUGACUUCUCUGCCUGGAAACUCACAUUUCUAUAGAACUUUUAAUAACAAAAGGGCAGGAUACCUCUUUUGUCUUAAAAGCAAGGACAAUACAUGUACAGCAUGGCGUGACUCUUUUCCAAGACAGAAACUGAUAGAAGAAGUUGCAGUAGGUCCCGCUCUUUCAGUAUUGCAUCCUCUAAACUGCUUUCCCAUAAGAGACAUCAGGAGUUUCCACACUUCUCCACGGUGGCAAGCUGCUCCCAUCCCUCUCUUGUGGAUAAUUCUUAAACCAGUGCAGAAACUACUUGCAAUCAUUGUUGGCAGGGGCAUAAGGAAAUGGUGGCACGCACUUCCUCCCAACAAGAAGGAACACUUUAAAGAAAGUGUAAGGAAGAACAAAUGGAAGUUACUCCUGGGGUUGAGUACUUUUGGAUUUCUCUUCGUAGUGUUUUAUUUCACUCACCUGGAAGUGAGUCCAAUCACAGGAAGGACCAAGCUACUGCUGUUGGGGAAAGAACAUUUCAGUCUUUUAGCAGAACUGGAAUAUGAAGCAUACAUGGAAGAAUUUAAAAAUGAUUUUCUAACUGAGAAAGAUGCCCAGUACCUGAACAUUAAAGAAGUGUUUUAUCAUUUAAUUGAAUGCAAUAAAGAUAUCCCAGGGAUCUCCGAGAUCAAGUGGAUCAUUCAUGUGGUUGAUUCCCCAGAUAUAAAUGCCUUUGUGCUUCCGAAUGGACAUGUGUUUGUCUUCACUGGGCUUUUCAAUGCUGUGGCUAAUGUGCACCAACUUGCCUUCAUUCUGGGCCAUGAAAUAGCACAUGCAGUACUUGAGCAUGCUGCAGAAAAGGCCAGCGUGGUUCAUUUAUUGGAUUUCCUAGGUCUAAUUUUCCUCACAAUGAUUUGGGCCGUUUGUCCUCGAGAUAGCUUGGCAAUUGUGGGCCAGUGGUUGCAGUCUACAUUGAAAGAGUAUUUGUUCAGUAGACCAUACAGUAGAACACUGGAGGCUGAAGCUGACAAAAUUGGACUACGGCUUGCUGCAAAGGCUUGUGUGGACGUCAGAUCCAGUUCGGUGUUUUGGCAGCAGCUGGAACUUGCAGAUACCCUCUCUGGUCACCCCAACGUGCCAGAAUGGUUAUCCACACACCCUUCUCAUGGAAACCGAGUUGAGCAGUUGGAUAGACUCAUACCCGAGGCUCUCAAAAUUAGAGAGACCUGCAAUUGCCCACCACUUUCUGAACCAGACCCUCGAUUAGUGUUCAAACUCGCCAUGAAGGAUUUUCUUAAAGAAUCAGAGAAAAAGGACCUAAAUACCACUGCUGAGAAACAGAAAGUGGAUCCUCUUCCCAUUGGAAAACAGAAGCAAACAUCAGGAGCAUAAAUAAUUGAGAAAGAACUAGCAGUUGAAUUGAAAUAUGUGAGACAACGGAUAUAUGAAGAAUAUAGCAAUCCUUAUCACUUUACGUUACUUUUAGAAAAAUGUUUGAAAUGAAAAAAAUGAUAUUCACAGUCAAAUCAUGUAUAUUACAGAUGAUGUCAAGAUGGCUGUGGGCAGCUCCUGACGUAUGUGAUUCCUUCACAUCCAGGUGGGAGGAGUGACUCACCUGGGCACUAUUGAAACAAAGCCUUCAACACCACCUGCACCCUCUGAGGAGCACCCCAGGAGCCACCGCAGGGUGGGGAUGGGAUUAUGCUGAGGAUGGGUACAG
Molecule: RNA transcript, 1982 nt
Organism: Myotis brandtii (Brandt's bat)
Lineage: Eukaryota; Metazoa; Chordata; Mammalia; Chiroptera; Vespertilionidae
Gene: OMA1
Gene name: OMA1 zinc metallopeptidase
Exons: 10
Source: RefSeq, a predicted model, not a curated record